AACAAAAACCCUGAAACCUUAUAUUUCUGGCAACUGUAAAGACCCGUUCACACCAAAAGUUAAAUUAAUAAGCCUCAGGCAGAAGGAAGUGCCUCUGCACCUCACUCCC
Molecule: long non-coding RNA, 109 nt
Organism: Sinocyclocheilus rhinocerous
Lineage: Eukaryota; Metazoa; Chordata; Actinopteri; Cypriniformes; Cyprinidae
Exons: 3
Source: RefSeq, a predicted model, not a curated record